This 1228-nucleotide long non-coding RNA is filed under the name Ananas comosus (pineapple). RNAcentral's name for it is "long non-coding RNA (ACOM_LNC028635)". Lineage: Eukaryota; Viridiplantae; Streptophyta; Magnoliopsida; Poales; Bromeliaceae. The record is from RNAcentral.
AAAAAUCAUAUCCUAAACUCUUGUCAUAUGUGACCCAAACUUUUCCACCAAAUAUUUAUAAAAUUAUAUUGGACCCUAUAAAUUAAUAAUAUAUAGAUCAAUAAAAAAUUGUUGUUUGAGAUAUAAGAAUAUCUAAUCUCAGAGGAAUAGUGAGACAAAUACUUAGUAGUAGGAGAAUAUGCGGUGGCAAAUAUAUAUUCUAGGACUAAAUUAAGUAGCUCUCAAUUAUGCAAGCAUAUAUUCAAUAGCCACCAAUCAUGGCCCUUCUCAAUUACCUCACACUAAAUCAAUUAUGGGAAAAUAAAAUAAAAUAUUGUCAAAUUUAAGUUCAACAUGAUUUGUCCUUUUUUUCAAUUAAAAAAAUGGUGCAAAAUGGGCCUGUAAUUGAGUGACACAAUAUGCCACCCAAUCUUUUGUGCAUCAAUAGCUUAUAUAAGCCCAAGCCACUUUGAAUUCUCUAUGGACCAUCAUAGGACAAGUCAAAACAAAAGUUUGGACAUGUAUGGGCCGGAUUAGGCUCUUGGAUUGGAUUGAUGGAAUGAUAAGUUGGGUUGGGUCAGCUUGAAAUGAGAUUUUGUAAAAUUAAAUGUGUGCUUGGUUCUGAAUUUGUCCAUCAAAUAUCAAUUCAAAAUCUGCAGUGAUAAGAUCUAUAACAGCCCAGCCCGCUAAUACUAAUAAUCCAUUUUGUUCAAACCACCGGUCCAAAUUACUUUACCCCAGAAUACUUUCAAUUAUAAUUUUUUUUUUUUUCUAUCCAAUGUAAGAUUACAGGGACAUCAUAGGCUCUGUCCAUUUAGAUUUUGACGUCUUCGUCACAUUCUAUUCCCUAGCCCCAAGACUACAAAGCAAUAUAAUUUCUAUCUAACACUUCUGGCUACCGAAUCCGGCUUUGAUACUAAAUGUAACGACUCAGCAUGUUAAUAUUAAUUACUUGUUGCAUUAAAAUCAUUCAAUCAUAGUUUCUUUACUAUCUAAUGUUGACUAUCGAGGCACCAAAAGAUGGGCUACUAUGACCCUCAUGCUGGUUUCUGAUCGGUUAUAUUUUCUUUUUUUUGAGAGAGAGAGAGAAAUAUAGCAUGCUAUCUUUUUUGUUUAUUUUUUUAGAAAUAAACUUAGUUGGAAAUAUGAAACAACUAGGUUUCGAAUUUGGGAUCUCGGGUAUCAAUUAUCAAGCCAUUUGUCACUUGUGGUAAGGAUGGUUGGUGGUCGGUUAUAUUUUCACUCAAAG